CUGACAGAACACACGCAGCAAGAAACGUGCGAGCACCUGGAGGCAUACAGCGGCGUCACUGUGACAGCAAUGGCAAGUCAAAGUACUAAAAGAAAGAUUCCAGUCCGCAAACCUGCUCAGGAGGAGGUGAAGAAUGAUGUGCAAGAAGAGGCUCCAACUGCCCAUAUAACUCUUUCCAAAACAAAACAAACAGUUGAGAUGCUGAAAGAGAAGAUCCAUGCUCUGGAGGAAAAAGUGGAGUCUUUGACUGAAGAGAGAAACUUUCUCAGAGAGAGACUGGAAGAUGCCCUUAAACUGAAAGCUGAAGUUCCAGAACAGUCCCAGAAUCCUACAGCAUCCCAGAUGGAGUCAUCUGAAGAUACAACAUCUUCUGACUCCAUCUCUGAUUCAUCUGAGCCUUCACGAAAGAAGUAUAAAAAGAAACCAAAAAAGAAGAAAUCAAAGAAAGCACGGGCCUGUGAUUUCAAAAGAGUAAAAACACCUGAGGAGUCUGUUUGUCGGUACCAGAAAGUCCUACGACUUGUUAAAAGUGGCUCAACAAAGGCGGAUGCCUAUAACAG
Molecule: long non-coding RNA, 560 nt
Organism: Cyprinus carpio carpio
Lineage: Eukaryota; Metazoa; Chordata; Actinopteri; Cypriniformes; Cyprinidae
Source: Ensembl